Dermochelys coriacea (leatherback sea turtle) is the source of this 1336-nucleotide long non-coding RNA. RefSeq lists it as uncharacterized. The record is from RefSeq and is a predicted model, not a curated record. The transcript is spliced from 3 exons. NCBI's taxonomy places the organism in Eukaryota, Metazoa, Chordata, Testudines, Dermochelyidae.
CACUAUCUAUUAUGUGCACAAGAAGCAGUUACAGGCCAUAAAAAGAAAAAUUACAUUAUGUAUUAAAAAGUGCUUCUUUACUUCCAUUUUAUUUCAAGGAAGAAGAUUUACAAACAACUGAAUUAAGACCAGAACAUUAAGAAGACUUAAACCCUACAGACAAUUGCAAAUCUGGAACUGGCAGCUAAUCAGUGGCGUUCUGCAGAACAAAUGAAAUGACUUGCAACCCUAACGCUGACUCCUCUGAAAUACCAACCAGCAUCUCCUGCUGCUGUCGGUGAGAGGCCUGGCAGGCGAUUCAUUCACUCCCAGCCAGAUUGAAAUUUGCAUCUACAUUCAGAAUCUAUUCUCCUCUGCAAUGAAAAGGAAUCUGGACUACUCUGCAUCUUCUGAACUCACCUUGGAAGAGACAGAGAUAGGCAGGAAUCAUGGUGGGAACACCAGGUGUGCUUUCUACAUGGCACCAAGAUUUUCUACUUAACAAAUGGAUGGGAAAGAGGUGGAGAAGGGAGUGUGAUGGGGUGUGUUUGCCUCACACUGGUUCAGCAGGGGUUAAACCCACCCUGUGGGCCAAGGAGACCACUCCCCCUUGGCCCUGCUGAGCAUGCUCCAGCUGGAACCCAGGUAUAAAAGGGAGCAGCUCAGCUCAGUUGGGGCUGACUGCUGAGGAGGGAGGAUGCAGUUGCUGGUUCCAGCCCAAGAACUGUUGAAUCUCCAGAGCACGGAAGCCAAGCCUGCCAAGAUCCAGGCAGACACUGGGAUGAUGGAGGACUCCCCAGAGAGGAGGGCACUGCCAGGAACUGCCCUAGCCAAGGAAUCCAGAAACCUCAGAGAUGCCCGUACCGUUGCAUGAUGGGACCGGCUUUGUGCUUCAGGCUUAACAAGCAUCUCAACUUCCUUGUGAUCUUCCAAGAUCAGUCCCUUGUGCUAUGCUGCCUUCCCCAGCCAUGUUGAUCCAGGCAGUGCAUUUUAAAUGGAAGAGGCCUCAUUCUGCCACACGCCUUGCAUUGAGCCAGAGCUACAUCAAAGAUGCCAUCCCAGUAAAGACAUCUAGGAAAAACUGGCUGCUGGAAGCAGUUUUCCACCCUCUGAGUAAUAAAAUGCACCUUUCCUGAAAAAUCAGAUUCUCUAGGGAGGGAGAAGGGCCAGGUGCUUCUCUGAAGCUGGUGUGCAUACCUUAUAUCUGCAUGUGCAUUUGUGCCAAGCUCUAAGGGAGAGGCCAGAUAGCAGAGCAAAGGCUGGGACACAAAAAAACCCUUUUCAGCCAUUCCUCCUGAGGGGGGAAAGGAACAGAGAAUGAGAGGGGGCUCGGAGCAAAAGAGCCCUUCUUCCUGGG